This 294-nucleotide ribosomal RNA is filed under the name uncultured Enterobacter sp. Its description in RNAcentral is "partial 16S ribosomal RNA". It matches the Rfam family "Bacterial small subunit ribosomal RNA", at positions 1048 to 1339 of the family's 1533-position model. The record is from RNAcentral. Lineage: Bacteria; Pseudomonadati; Pseudomonadota; Gammaproteobacteria; Enterobacterales; Enterobacteriaceae.
GCUGUNGUCAGCUCGGGUUGGGAAAUGUUGGGUUAAGUCCCGCAACCGAGCCAACCCUUAUCCUUUGUUGCCAGCGGUUCGUGCCGGGAACNUCAAAGGAGACUGCCAGUGAUAAACUGGAGGAAGGUGGGGAUGACGUCAAGUCAUCAUGGCCCUUACGAGUAGGGCUANCACACGUGCUACAAUGGCGCAUACAAAGGGAAGCGACCUCGCGAGAGCAAGCGGACCUCAUAAAGUGCGUCGUAGUCCGGAUUGGAGUCUGCAACUCGACUCCAUGAAGUCGGAAUCGCUAGU